This 873-nucleotide ribosomal RNA is filed under the name Triticum aestivum (bread wheat). RNAcentral's name for it is "partial small subunit ribosomal RNA". The record is from RNAcentral. Lineage: Eukaryota; Viridiplantae; Streptophyta; Magnoliopsida; Poales; Poaceae.
AUGGCAUGGUUCGCAUCACCGGUCGUUCUUGGCGCCGUCUAUGUAGCUGCCUUGGCGUUCCGCCUCGUUCCUCACUUGGCUGUGUGCCUCCGGCGUCCCAAGGACCUCCGGCGCAGCUACGGCACGUGGGCCGUCACCACGGGGCCAACAUCCGGCAUUGGCUGGUCCCUGGCCGUGGAGCUCGCGCGCAGUGGGCUGAACCUUGUCCUCAUCGGCCGAGACCCGGCCAAGCUCCGGGACAUCUCCCAGACGAUAUGCAGGGCCGCUCCCACCGUGAAGACCAAGACUCUAGUCUUGGACUUGUCGCUCCUCGCCACCGCCCAUGGCGACGAGGCGAUGUGACGGCUGCAGCAGACCGUGGAGGCGCUGGACGUCGGCGUGUUGGAGCCCGGUGCGGUCUUCCUGCACGAGGCCGACAUCGAGGAGUUGGUGGAUAUGAUACGGGUGAACCUGUUGGGGCUGACAGAGGUGACAGCGGCGGUGAUUCCGGGCAUGGUGGAGCGCCGGAGGGGAGCUGUGGUCAACAUGGGCUCAGCUUCGUCAGAGGCCAUCCCCUCCUUACCCCUCUACACCAUGUACGCCGCUACUAAACGCUAUGUUGAUUAGUUCUCUAAGAGUCUUCACGUCGAAUAUAGAAGAAAAGGGAUCGAAGUGUAAUGCCAGGCACCGUUCUUUGCGGCCGGCAUGAUGGCGUCCGCCUUCGCGAGGCCAGGUGCUUGGCGCCAUUGACGCCAACGCCUGAAACCUAUGCGCACGGCAGUGCGGUGGAUCGUCCAUGGUCCGCUCUGUGUGCCCAAGUUGGGACACCGGAUUAUGUGGUUCUUUUCCGGCAUUGGGCAUGACUUUUUGCUCGACGAGAUGCAGAGGGACUGA